UACGUAGGGGUCGAGCGUUGUCCGGAGCUACUGGGCGUAAAGCGUGCGCAGGUGGCUCAUUGCGCCCGGCGUGAAAGCCCCCGGCUCAACCGGGGAGGGUCGUCGGGGACGGGUGAGCUUGAGGGUAUCAGGGGCUGGUGGAACUCCCGGUGUAGUGGUGAAAUGCGUAGAGAUCGGGAAGAACACCCGUGGCGAAGGCGGCCAGCUGGGAUACACCUGACACUGAGGCACGAAGGCGUGGGGAGCGAACGGG
This 253-nucleotide ribosomal RNA is filed under the name uncultured bacterium. Its description in RNAcentral is "partial 16S ribosomal RNA". It matches the Rfam family "Bacterial small subunit ribosomal RNA", at positions 524 to 776 of the family's 1533-position model. The record is from RNAcentral.